GCACCAGUUGUGUAUGGAGCACGCGUCGGCCCAUUCGAUGGAAAGCAACCAUUAUCUCGACGAGACGGGGUUCGAUUCCCCGCUGGUGCG
Mycena polygramma is the source of this 90-nucleotide non-coding RNA. The record is from the annotation of a GenBank genome assembly. Lineage: Eukaryota; Fungi; Basidiomycota; Agaricomycetes; Agaricales; Mycenaceae.